GUGGGGAAUUUUGGACAAUGGGCGCAAGCCUGAUCCAGCAAUGCCGCGUGUGUGAAGAAGGCCUUCGGGUUGUAAAGCACUUUUGUCCGGAAAGAAAUGGCCUGGGUUAAUACCCCGGGUCGAUGACGGUACCGGAAGAAUAAGCACCGGCUAACUACGUGCCAGCAGCCGCGGUAAUACGUAGGGUGCGAGCGUUAAUCGGAAUUACUGGGCGUAAAGCGUGCGCAGGCGGCGAUGCAAGACAGAUGUGAAAUCCCCGGGGUCAACCUGGGAACUGCAUUUGUGGCUGCAUGGCUAGAGUGCGUCAGAGGGGGGUGGAAUUCCGCGUGUAGCAGUGAAAUGCGUAGAGAUGCGGACGAACACCGAUGGCGAAGGCAGCCCCCUGGGAUGACACUGACGCUCAUGCACGAAAGCGUGGGGAGCAAACAGGAUUAGAAACACCAGUAGUCC
RNAcentral lists this ribosomal RNA (450 nucleotides) under uncultured bacterium. RNAcentral's name for it is "partial 16S ribosomal RNA". It matches the Rfam family "Bacterial small subunit ribosomal RNA", at positions 354 to 796 of the family's 1533-position model. The record is from RNAcentral.